GUUAGCAGUCAAUCCACCUUACAUCUCAAAAUCUAGAAUAUAAAACAAAAAACUGAUGAAUCAAUUAAUCAAAAAGCUUUCAAAGAUAAUCCAAUUUCCAAAUAAUGACUUGCAUGCCAGAACCAUGACAAUUGAUAAACCACAAUGCGUAGAUUGACCACCGAUGAAAGACCCCAAAAAAGAGCUUUAUCAUCCUCAUCAAAGACCGAGACAAACAAUAAAAAAGUGCGUAGCUAGAAGUUGAGAGGGUAAGAAAAAAGAGGUCACGCUUUGAGACGUCCAAAAAUAAUUCGAUAGACCUGUAAGGCGUGGUUGAGCCCUCGAUCACAAAGUUCCUCGAGUUUUCCCGGGGCUCGUCCCGGCUGACUCGGAUAGGAAGUAAGUGCGUGUGCUAAACCUUAAUGUGGGUUCAACGACCCAAAGUAGGUCGCUGGGUCGUCAUCUUGUUCUUGGUCUCUCCUCAGCCUCAGCUUCUUAUUUCCAAACAGACUCCGGUGAGGGUUUGUGCGUAAGUGUAUUAGGGUGGCCGGGUAUCCGGGAGGACCCAGUUACAGUCACAUCACUGGGAAGAACCGAACCUUGUGUUCCCUUUCCUCUCAACUUGAACUGCGGAACGGCAUGCCGGUGUGGGUAAUGUGCCAGAGGUAUAUAAUCCGAGAUGGUAGGCCUUGACAAGGGAAUUUUUGACGGUGCAGGAGUACGGGGGAGUUACAAAGAAACGAAUCGCUUGAAGGUGUAAGCUUGGAUACAGUAUAUAGACUUAUACAUCAACAUAAACCUACACCAGUCCAAAUACCAUCCUCAACCAGCAGACACUUAGCACACCAACAGGUAAGAGGAAUCCAGCUUGUUGCUGGUGUUGGUGAGGUAUGCGUGUGUCGAUUGUGUGAGAGGGAUAAGGGAAAGUUGGUGAACCCGGGCGAUUGGCCCACCUUUCUUCAGCUGAGGUCGUUGCUCCCAAAUGAUUAUUCGAUGGUCACCGAAAAAACCCAACCAAAUAAACAACUGGCCAAGGUAUGGGCUCAGCAUGCUAUAGGACUGCCCAGGUCUAUCGCACCACCCUCCCCACUUUUUAUUCGUCAGAGACCAACCAAUGUUUAAGUAUAAAUACUUAUAAAAUAAUUCGAUUCAAUGUAAGGAGUUACGACAUCGAAUACGGGAUUAGUUUGAGGAUCAUCAGCAUAAGAGAUCAUUAGCCCCUUUAUAAGUGUGUCUAUGACCUUGUAGCACACCAAAUAAGAUGGUAAUGUAAUAUAAUGUCGUUGGCUCGUAAUAUAUUGAUCUAUAGAUUUGUUUACCAACUUAUUUUUAUAUAUAUUUUUUUUUUUUUUUUUUUUUUUGUAAUCUACCGUCUACAUGUUAUGAAUGACUACGACGUCGUACGAUUUUGCUCAGGAGUAAAUUAAAUAUAUUAUACUUAACUAUCAAGAAGAAAUGGGUGAGGUAAUAUUAAAUAAAUAUAACUUUUUUU
Long non-coding RNA from Cotesia glomerata, 1471 nucleotides. RefSeq lists it as uncharacterized. The record is from RefSeq and is a predicted model, not a curated record. The transcript is spliced from 3 exons. Lineage: Eukaryota; Metazoa; Arthropoda; Insecta; Hymenoptera; Braconidae.